GGUUGUCUUGGCAGAGUAGUGCGUUAGAUUUAGAAUCUUUUUAUGUAAAUUUUACAGAUAAUA
RNAcentral lists this transfer RNA (63 nucleotides) under Anthaxia fulgurans. RNAcentral describes it as "tRNA-Leu". Lineage: Eukaryota; Metazoa; Arthropoda; Insecta; Coleoptera; Buprestidae. The record is from RNAcentral.